GAACGCAUCUUGCGCCCCUUGGCAUUCCGAGGGGCACACCCGUUUGAGCGUCGUGAAACUCUCAACCCUUCUCCCUUUCUUGUUGAACCGGGAGGAUGGCUUGGACUUUGGAGGCUUCUGCCGGUCUCAUCCCUCUUAGAACCGGCUCCUCUUAAAGAAAUUAGUGGGGUCUCAUUUGCCGAUCCUUGACGUGAUAAUAUUUGACGUCUUUUUUUGAGAGGCAGAGAGACCUUGCUUCCAAUGGUCUCAUUCAGGGACACCAGUGAGAUCAAAGAUCCCACUAAACCCCCAUUGACCUCAAAUCGGGUGAGACUACCCGCUGAACUUAAGCAUA
This 334-nucleotide ribosomal RNA is filed under the name uncultured Lactifluus. RNAcentral's name for it is "eukaryotic LSU rRNA". The record is from RNAcentral. Lineage: Eukaryota; Fungi; Basidiomycota; Agaricomycetes; Russulales; Russulaceae.